AUGAACGCUGGCGGCGUGCCUAAUCCAUGCAAGUCGUGCGAACAGACGAGGAGCUUGCUCCUCUGACGUUAGCGGCGGACGGGUGAGUAACACGUGGAUAACCUACCUAUAAGACUGGGAUAACUUCGGGAAACCGGAGCUAAUACCGGAUAAUAUAUUGAACCGCAUGGUUCAAUAGUGAAAGACGGUUUUGCUGUCACUUAUAGAUGGAUCCGCGCCGCAUUAGCUAGUUGGUAAGGUAACGGCUUACCAAGGCAACGAUGCGUAGCCGACCUGAGAGGGUGAUCGGCCACACUGGAACUGAGACACGGUCCAGACUCCUACGGGAGGCAGCAGUAGGGAAUCUUCCGCAAUGGGCGAAAGCUUGACGGAGCAACGCCGCGUGAGUGAUGAAGGUCUUCGGAUCGUAAAACUCUGUUAUUAGGGAAGAACAAAUGUGUAAGUAACUAUGCACGUCUUGACGGUACCUAAUCAGAAAGCCACGGCUAACUACGUG
This 496-nucleotide ribosomal RNA is filed under the name uncultured bacterium. RNAcentral's name for it is "partial 16S ribosomal RNA". It matches the Rfam family "Bacterial small subunit ribosomal RNA", at positions 29 to 507 of the family's 1533-position model. The record is from RNAcentral.